AGGUGAUAUAUUGAAAAAAGGUAUAUGUAAUUAAUAUUAUUUUAAGGAUUACGAAUCAAAAUUUAAAGAAUGAUAAAAAGAUAAAAACUGUAAUAACAGGGAUCAAUCAUAAUCAUGAAAAUGAUAAAAAGAGAAACAAGUGGAAUGAAACAUCUGAGUAACUUGUUAAAUAACCAACAGGGAUAAUAUAAGUAACGGUGAGUGAAAGUAUUAAAAUCUUAAAGUAUUACCAAGAGGUAAGAAUAAAGUAGUUUCCAACUACUAAGAAAUAAAAUUAAAUUUUAGAUUAAAGUACCGCAAGGGAAAGUAAAGAAAUAGAAUAAUAAAGAGCAGUUAUAGUAUAACGUACCUCUUGUAUAAGUGCGACAAGAAGCAUUAAUAAUUAAUGUGGCUAAUAACCACCUAACCUUUCCAUUGGUUAGACCCUAUCUAUACAUGCUGAAGGAGUAAUCAUCAGUUUGAAGCUAUAGAGACAAUGUAACAUUAUUCCCAUUAAAAUUUAAUCGGAGUGCUAGGGUAAUAAUUCUAUGAUAAACGAAAGUGAACUUGCAUUGAGGCUUCGUAAAAAAUGGCCCCGCUUCGGGGGGCGAUACCGGCCUACCGGCCGGCAUUGUUAAGUCAAAUCUUUCUUAUACUGGGAUUUGAAAUGGAACAUAUUUAACACGAAGUAAAGCAUAGUAUCUAAGGAAUGUCCGAUAUAUGAUCGGUAAAUUAUGGGGUUUACAACCCCAUGAUUAAUGGAAAAUUUAUUCCAUAUAUGAUUUUAAUUAUUAGUGAACUUGGUAAGCCCUUAGUUUUCUAAAUAUAAUGUUAUAUUUAGAGGUAACAUAUAAAGAUUAAUCUGAAAUUGUUAUAUCGAACUUAGGGUAUAAGAAGAUUCAAAAAGCGAAUGCAGAUUAGUAAUAGAUCUGAUAAAGUUUUAUAACUUAAUCCGAGAGGAUGCAGACUUGAAUCAUUGUGAUCUUCAUAAUUAUUUAGCUCUUUAAGAGCAAUAUGAUAAUCUAAAGCUUUCGGUAGAUUAUGAUAGAGAUCUUGUUAUAAUACAAGUGAAAAUAAUUAUUGCUAAAUAAAAGUCCCCAUAGUGGGUUAUUGGCUAAUAUUGUAAUAUUACAAUUAAGUAAGAUUGCAUGAGCCGUAUGCGAUGAAAGUCGCACGUACGGUUCUAAGGGGGGGAAAAACUGAGAGGUUCUACCUAUCCCAAUUGGGCCAGUGAGUUAUAUAAUUUAGUGAAAAAUUGAAUAAAAAUUUUUAUAUAUAAAUAGAAAUAAAUUAAAUUAUAUAGGCCCGAAAGCAAACGAUCUACACAUGUCCAAGUGUAUAUACAACCUAUUUUAGGUUUAUAUAUGACUCAAUAGGUAAUUGUAGCAAUAAUUUCUAAAGAGGUGUGUGUAGCUGUGACAGACAAAUCUGGUUUGCAGAUAGCUGGUUUUCUGCGAAAUAUAUUUUAGUAUAGCCUUUAUACAUAUUUAAACUGGUACAGCACUUAAAUAACUUUGGGGAAUUAGAAUAUAAUUUUAUCAAAAUAUUUAAACCUCGGAAUCAGUUAAUAAUAAUAUAAGGAGUCAGACUUAUUGCGAUAAGGUAGUAGGUCGAGAAGGAAACAACCUAGACUAUUAAAUGAAUGUCCCAAAUAUUAAUUAAGUGAACAAAAUCUAUCCUACUUUUAUUUUUUUAAUAAAAGUUGAAAUUAUAUAUUAUAAUUUCUUCCCCUCAGGGAAGAUAAUCAUCCCCCGCUUCGCGGGGGAUAAUUUCACAUUAUUUUUCUUCGGAAUUAUAUACGGGGUAUUAAAUUAUAGACAAUUAGUAAGUGGGUUUGACAAUAAUCAACUUUUAAUGAACAUGUAACAAUGCACUAAUUUUAUAUAUAUAUAUAAAUAAUAUAUAUAUUUAUUAAUAAUAGAGAAAAUAUAUCGGGUCUAAAUUAAUAACAGUAUUAUAGAUAUAAUCAUUAAGAUUAUAUGGUAGCAGAAUAUAUAAUGGAUAAUUAUAAAGAGAUUGCUGGCUUGAGUAACGAUAGAUAAUAUAAGAUUAUCCCCUUAUUCAUAAGGUUUUACUAUAAACGAACGGUCCCUAAGAUUAUUAUAGAAAUAUAAAAUUGAUGGGUGAAAGAACAAGAAAAUAAAAAUGAACCGUACUGUAGACCGACACAGGUAUGAUUAGCAAAAAGGGAAUGGGAUAACUACUUUGAAUGAACUCGGCAAAAUAAAUCGUGCGACUGUUUACCAAAAACAUAGCUUAUUGCAUACUAGCAAUAGUAAGUAUAAUAAGUGAUAUCUGCCCGGUGUUAGUUUAAUAAAUAUUAUUAUUUAAUAGAUAAUUUUAUAAAAGACUGAUAAACGGCGGUCUUAUUGUGAGGAUCCGAAGGUAGCGGUGCGACAAGAUAAAUUCCCCCGCUUCGCGGGGGGAUUAUAUCCCCCUUUGGGGGAUAAAUUCGUAAUAAGAAUAAGGUGAAAACCCUUUACAAUAAAAGUCAUAUUUGUAAACCUAAUUCAACAUGCAUUAUGAGUAAUUAUUUUGUAUGAAGCUUGAAUGACAACGGCUAUAAACUUUAUCUGAUAUAAGUGAUCUGGUCUAGGUUAGAACGACAUGAUUAGUUUAUCAAAAUAGUGGAUUAAAAUCUCGUUAUAGGAAAGUAACAUGAUCAGUUUUUGGUUACUAUAUAUGAUUUAAAUAAUAUCGACGCUACGGAUAUUAUUAUAUGACUUAAUAAUAAAAAAUCAUCGGGAUAUAGCUAUAAUCUAAAUCGUUCAUUAAAGUCUUAUUACGGAAACUUGGUAAGCCUUAUACAUACCUAUAUUUUAUAGGAAGUAAUAUAUAAAAUUAAUAUAAUGGAAAUUAUUAUAUAGUGUAGAAGGUAAAGGAUAAAUAUAAAAAGCGAAUGAUUUUAUGUAAUGUAAAAUAUAGAGUUAAAUAACUCAUUCUGAAAGGAAGCUAACUUAUAUAUAAGGCCAUAAAAAUUUUUAUGGUUUGAGCCGUAAGCAGUGAAAGUUGCACAUACGGUUCUUAAGGGGGGAAAGCUUGAGAGGGCCUACCUAUCCUAACAAAUUCAUUGACGUAUAAUUGACGUCCUGCAUGAAUGAAUAUACGAUGCGAUAACUGUAUCCAAAGUAGACUCAGUGAAAUAGCAAUUGCGGUGAAAUUAGUACUAUAAUAAAUAUAUUAUACGCCGGGUUGGUGUAAAUCCAACUUUAUAGUUUUAAUAAUGCCGGCCGUAGGCCGGUAUGGCCCCGCUUAGCGGGGCCAUGAUAUAUUAAAUGUCUUAAAUGAUAGAUAAGUAUAAUAAAUAAGAAUACAAUCGAAAUAAUACUUACCCCUUAAAUAUAAGGGUAAAUUACAUAUAGGCAAUAUGUAGUUUAAUCACUAUAAAUAAAAAGGUGAAAACGGUUAAUGACAUCUUAGUUAAAGACCGUCGGCAGUUGUAUAUGUCGCUACAGACUGGUUCACCGAGGUUAGACUGAAAUGUCUGUCUAAAUGUACAGUCGGAUUCUGUAAUAUAAUAUUUAUAUUAUAUAGAGGUGAAAGAUGUAUAAAAAAAUACAACUUAUUAGUACUUAAGUAAGAAACCUUUGUAGGUCAAACCUACUUAAAUUAAUCAGAAUUGGAAGAUGCCGUAUAUCCGUAGGUUGACAAAAAGACCCUAUGCAGCUUUACUAUAUCUUUAUUUUGAUUUUUAAUCAUAAUACUUUUAUGAUUAGCCUUUUUUCAUUUAUUUCAGCAGAUUAGGUUAUAUUUAUAUUUUAAAUCAAAUGAGAUACCUAUAUAAUUGAAAAAAGAAUCUAAUUAAUACAGUCAGAAUUCUAUAAUAUAGAAUGUUAGUUAUACUAAUUGACUUAAGUUUAACUUAUUUAAGAAAGAGUAAAGAGGUUAGUUUCGAUGGGGCGUCGACAUCAGCGAAAGCAUCUGAUGUGUCUAAUAACAAAGAUCUUGAUUAAUCAAGACUAAAUGUUUAAUUAAAUUUUUUAUUUAAUAGUAAAUUACGUACAAUAAUUCUAUAUGGUAAAUAGAAUAAAAGAUUAUAAGUAAGGAUAACAACAUAAUUGUGCGAUGAUAAUAACACUAACAAGUGGAAUUAGUACUUACGUAGAGUGUAGUGAACAGGCAUAAACAAAUGGUAUGGAUGUCGAUAACGGAUUAAAGUUACGCUAGGGAUUAAUUGUUAGUUCCUUUAUAUAGAAAUAUAUAUUUAUCUACGCUUUAGUUAGAUAACUUUCAUUUGAAAGAUAUUAAUUGGGUGAAUUACAUAGAACUCUUUAUAUAUAAAGACAAUAUGUAGCGAAACAUAUAUUAGUUAAAUUUUUAAGAUAUAUGAACGUUCAACGACUAGUAAUUGAGUAAACUAACAAUAAUAUUACCACGAGCGCCCAAUACCUAUGAAUUAUCCCCCCCCCGCGAAGCGGGGGGUUGAUUAUAUCCCCCAAAGGGGAUAAAUAAUUAGGUAAAGAAAUAGUCUGAACUAUAUAGUAAUAUAUAGAUGUUGUUAUUAAAAAAACAACAAAUAACAAAAUUGAACAGGGUAAUACCGCGUGAGAGUUGAUAUCGUCAGCGGUGUUUGCCACCUCGAUAAAUAACGAUAGUCGAGUUUAAAUAGGUUUAAUUGCAAGAAGUCUAAAAUAUAUGACAUAUUAGUUUGAUAUAUAAAAUGAUGAUUUGCAGCGAAUUAUUAUUUAUAUAAAUAAUAUAUAUAUAUUAUAAGAAUAAUAAACGUUCAACGACUAGUAGGUGAGUAAAAUAACAAUAUCCUACCACGAAAUACCUAGAAAUAUAUAUAUUUAUAUUUUAAGAUAUAGUCUGAACAAUAAUGAAAAUUAUUGAAGUUAAUAUUAAAUAAGUUAACGAUAACAAAUUGGUCGUCUAGACUCGUCCUCCUGGUCGCAGCAACUAGGUAGGGUAGGACUGUUCGUCCUCUAAGGAGUUACUUGAGAUGGGUUAAUUACGACGUGAGUCAGUAAUGAUUUUAUCAUCUAUGGAUUUUUUUCUUAUCUGUUGCCUUAAGUGUACGCAAGGAUAAUAAGGUACAUUCCUAUGGUUAAUUAAUAUAUUUAGCUAAGAAUGUUGUGUUUACAUAUUGAAUGCAUAUCAAAUAUUAAAUCCUUCAGAUAAGUUUAUACAUUAUAGACUAUAAUGUAUUAGUUAAUUUGUUAUAUUUGCAAAUAUACUAAUUUAUUUACUCAUAUUUUAUGAGUAUAAAAAAACAUAUACCU
This 5201-nucleotide ribosomal RNA is filed under the name [Candida] ipomoeae. The record is from RNAcentral. Lineage: Eukaryota; Fungi; Ascomycota; Pichiomycetes; Serinales; Metschnikowiaceae.